GCCGCAUUAGCUCAGCCGGUAGAGCAAUUGCUUCGUAAGUAAUGGGUCGGGGGUUCAAAUCCCUCAUGCGGCACCG
RNAcentral lists this transfer RNA (76 nucleotides) under Paracoccaceae bacterium. Its description in RNAcentral is "Rhodobacteraceae bacterium (aquatic metagenome) tRNA-Thr". It matches the Rfam family "tRNA". From Rfam's summary of the family: Transfer RNA (tRNA) molecules are approximately 80 nucleotides in length. Their secondary structure includes four short double-helical elements and three loops (D, anti-codon, and T loops). Further hydrogen bonds mediate the characteristic L-shaped molecular structure. tRNAs have two regions of fundamental functional importance: the anti-codon, which is responsible for specific mRNA codon recognition, and the 3' end, to which the tRNAs corresponding amino acid is attached (by aminoacyl-tRNA synthetases). tRNAs cope with the degeneracy of the genetic code in two manners: having more than one tRNA (with a specific anti-codon) for a particular amino acid; and 'wobble' base-pairing, i.e. permitting non-standard base-pairing at the 3rd anti-codon position. The record is from RNAcentral. Lineage: Bacteria; Pseudomonadati; Pseudomonadota; Alphaproteobacteria; Rhodobacterales; Paracoccaceae.